RNAcentral lists this long non-coding RNA (499 nucleotides) under Salmo salar (Atlantic salmon). RNAcentral describes it as "lncRNA (ENSSSAG00000087076.1, ENSSSAG00000115095.1)". The record is from RNAcentral. Lineage: Eukaryota; Metazoa; Chordata; Actinopteri; Salmoniformes; Salmonidae.
GCAUGAUCUGAGUGAACAAGAGAGAGCGAGAGAUGUCUCCAAUAACAAUGCCUGCAACUCCCACCACCUGGGCUUCAAAACAGGAGGCACACAUGACAUCACUUCCUUCCUCACCUGUAGCAAGAGCAGCUGUGUCCAUACCAAAAACACUAUCAGUGAAACAAAUCCACUACUACCUCUCCCUACCUGAAGUGGAGAUUACGGAAUUCAGGGAGAGCAAACAACAAGAAUGUGACACUGUCCGGACGCUGGUGGAAGAGUUGAGGCUUUUCCAGGAGGAGAGCCGUGCUUUAAUAUUAACAGUUAAAACAGAAGUUAAGACAGAACACUGAACAAAUGAUGUCCUCCAAGAGGAGCUGUGUGUAGUGAAGGUGGAGCUGAAGCAGAGAGAGAGAGAGGGACAUGAUGUCCUCCAAGAGGAGCUGUGUGUAGUGAAGGUGGAGCUGAAGCAGAGAGAGAGAGGGACAUGAUGUCCUCCGAGAGGAGCUGUGUGUAGUGA